Molecule: ribosomal RNA, 375 nt
Filed under: uncultured bacterium
Lineage: Bacteria
Description: bacterial LSU rRNA
Rfam family: Bacterial large subunit ribosomal RNA
Source: RNAcentral
CGGCCGCGUCGACGUAGGGGAGAAAUUCCAAUCGAACCCGGAGAUAGCUGGUUCUCCUCGAAAUAGCUUUAGGGCUAGCCUCGAUAGAGUCUUGCGGAGGUAGAGCACUGAAUUUCCUAGGGGGCGUCAAAGCUUACCGAAGAAUAUCAAACUCCGAAUGCCGUAAAGAUGCUUAUCGGGAGUCAGACUACACGAGAUAAGUUGGGUGGUCAAAAGGGAAAGAGCCCAGACCUCCGGCUAAGGUCCCAAAGUGCGUGUUAAGUGGAAAAGGAUGUGGGAUUUCAAAGACAACCAGGAUGUUGGCUCAGAAGCAGCCAUCCAUUCAAAGAGUGCGUAAUAGCUCACUGGUCGAGAGGUCCUGCGCCGAAAAUGUCC